ACCUAAAGAUCCUGGACCAGGAGAUUAAGAAGCAAAUGACGUCUCCUUCGUGUUACCUGACACAGGAAACCCUAGUGGAGACCCAAAGGUUGACCAUGAACAAAACCUGCCCCGAUCUCCGCACCCAGGUUUAGGGGCUCCUGGAAGAAGUCCCCCCCGCCCCCACCCGGCCCCUCCCUGUGGUGCAGGCGCAGAGCCGCGGGCGGCUGCUCUGGAAAGCUCCGGGCUCUGCUGAGCCGCUGCUUCCUCCUCCUCCUCAUGCAAUAAAGAUCAAUUUGUCUGGGAGCCACUUCUUUUUGAUGAGAGACCGUUUCUGGGAGAGGUCUCGGGCUUCAAGGAGCACAUACAAGUAAGUAGUAAAAAAAGAAAACACAACACACAACACACGGCGCAGCGCCACCCCAGGCCUCCUCUGACCGCAGCCGCCCC
This 429-nucleotide long non-coding RNA is filed under the name Canis lupus familiaris (dog). RNAcentral describes it as "lncRNA (ENSCAFG00000056518.1)". The record is from RNAcentral. Lineage: Eukaryota; Metazoa; Chordata; Mammalia; Carnivora; Canidae.